AACGAACGCUGGCGGCAGGCUUAACACAUGCAAGUCGAGCGCCCCGCAAGGGGAGCGGCAGACGGGUGAGUAACGCGUGGGAAUCUACCUAUCACUACGGAACAACUCCGGGAAACUGGAGCUAAUACCGUACUACGUCCGAGAGGAGAAAGAUUUAUCGGUGAUAGACUGAGCCCGCGUUGGAUUAGCUAGUUGGUGGGGUAAUGGCCGUACCAAGGCGACGAUCCAUAACUGGUCUGAGAGGAUGAUCAGCCACACUGGGACUGAGACACGGCCCAGACUCCUACGGGAGGCAGCAGUGGGGAAUAUU
This 310-nucleotide ribosomal RNA is filed under the name uncultured bacterium. Its description in RNAcentral is "bacterial SSU rRNA". It matches the Rfam family "Bacterial small subunit ribosomal RNA", at positions 29 to 365 of the family's 1533-position model. The record is from RNAcentral.